UAUACACGUUAGAUUUGAAAUAAUAGCGUUAACUAACUAGUAUAAUAAAGCUGUCUCGAGACAAUCCCCGCAUUCGGAUUUAGUCACUGAUCGGCUUUCAUCGCACUCGUUCUGAUUUCUACCUGAUCUUCGCAAGAUGUCUCAAUUCAAGCCGAUUCUGUACUUUGACGAUCGCAGUCCGCCGGUGCGCAGUUGUCUUAUGCUAAUUAAACUGCUGGAUAUCGAUGUGGAGUUUCGCUUUGUGGAUCUCUUCAAGGGCGAACAAUUUCAAAAAGACUUUUUGGCGUUAAAUCCCCAGCACAGUGUUCCUACUCUGGUGCAUGGUGACCUCGUACUGACCGAUAGCCAUGCCAUACUCAUACACCUGGCGGAAAAAUUCGACGAGGGCGGCAGUCUGUGGCCCAAGGAGUAUGCCCAACGAAUGAUGGUCCUGAAUCUCCUGCUCUUCGAGUGCUCCUUUCUGUUCCGGCGUGACAGUGAUUUUAUGUCGGCGAUUGUCCGCCAAGGAUUCGCCCAUGUGGAUGUGGCCCACCACGAACGCAAGCUGACCGAGGCAUAUGGCAUCAUGGAGCGCUACCUGGAAAAGAGCAACUACAUGGCCGGGGACCAGCUGACGCUUGCCGACUUCUCCCUGGUGACCACAUUGAGCACCGUCAAUCUCAUGUUUCCGCUGACGCGAUUUCCACGUUUGCAGCGUUGGUUCACCGCAAUGCAGCAGCUGGAUGCCUACGAAGCCAACUGCAGCGGGCUGGAGAAGCUGAGGCAGACUAUGGAGGCCAUCGGCAACUUCCAGUUUCCCACCUCCUCCUCCUCCUUAUCCUCCUCCUCAGUGGAUCAGGUUGAGCCCUGAGCUCUUGAUAGUUAUUAAAUCGUGUGUUUAAUUUAGAUGUUUGCCAAGGUUUAGGUGGUAUUAUACGCUUGCUUGUGAAGAUACUGCCUUCGCGCUGCCCUCAGUCUGUCCGUGGCCUUCCCGCUGUUUACAUCUAUAGUGAUAGUGGUAUUAAAAGUGAUAGUGCCCUUCGACCUAAAAUAUGUCACCUGACCAAGGCAAUACAACCGGAUAACCAGAAAGAAGCUCAAUUCGAUGAAGUCACCAAGAAUAUAAGUCUUCACAGGAUGGUAUUAAGCAAUAACGAAAAGGGAUAGCUGCGGUGACCCCCGACGGUCUGGC
This is an unclassified non-coding RNA of Drosophila serrata, 1171 nucleotides long. The record is from RefSeq and is a predicted model, not a curated record. Lineage: Eukaryota; Metazoa; Arthropoda; Insecta; Diptera; Drosophilidae.